UAGGGAAUCUUCGGCAAUGGACGAAAGUCUGACCGAGCAACGCCGCGUGAGUGAAGAAGGUUUUCGGAUCGUAAAACUCUGUUGUUAGAGAAGAACAAGGACGUUAGUAACUGAACGUCCCCUGACGGUAUCUAACCAGAAAGCCACGGCUAACUACGUGCCAGCAGCCGCGGUAAUACGUAGGUGGCAAGCGUUGUCCGGAUUUAUUGGGCGUAAAGCGAGCGCAGGCGGUUUCUUAAGUCUGAUGUGAAAGCCCCCGGCUCAACCGGGGAGGGUCAUUUGGAACCGGGGGACUUUGGUGCAGAAGAGGGGGGUGGAAUUCCAUGUGUUGCGGUGAAAUGCCUAGAUAUAUGGGGGAAAACCCGGUGCGAAGGCGGCUCUCUGGUCUGUAACUGACGCUGAGGGUCGAAAGCGUGGGGGGCAAACAGG
Molecule: ribosomal RNA, 429 nt
Filed under: Gemmatimonadota bacterium
Lineage: Bacteria; Pseudomonadati; Gemmatimonadota
Description: Gemmatimonadetes bacterium partial 16S ribosomal RNA
Rfam family: Bacterial small subunit ribosomal RNA
Source: RNAcentral